GGAGAAGAGCCACGGGAAAGUAAAAAGAAAGUUGAGAAUGAAAAUGAGACGGGGGAAGUGGCUAAAGAAGGAGGAGAAUCUUUGGAGGGAAAAGAAGAGUUGGGGUUGACCUUAAAUGAAAAGGAGGGUGGAGUUAAAGGGGCUUUAGUGACAACUAACAUUUCCCUCCCUCGCUUUGCUAUAUCUGUUUUGCAGGAUUUUGAAAAUUUAGUCCAUGUCGAUGAGCCAAUUGGAAUCCUUUACAACCCAGGAAUUGAUUAUCAGUUGGUGGAUAAAAUUCAACUACAUCCUGGCUUGGACAUUCUCAUGACACCGCAAGUUGAAUUUGUGAUCCCCGAAGAAGUACAGAAGUUGCCAUGGAAGGAACUCAUAUGCAGUGGUUGGUGAGAGAAAGAUGAUAUGAAGGGCAACGUUGACACAUUGGGCAUGACAUUACUUCAAGUGCUUGGGUCAAGUCAAGUAAGUAGAACGCAUGGAUAUUCAUCAAAUGGAGUUGUCAUUGGAGCAAUUCAAACUUGCAAGAUCAAGCAGUCAAGACGAGCACAGUUUGAUCCAAGUGAAGGUGAUUGGACUUACAUAUGCAAGAGGAGGAUCGAGUUCAAAAAUGGUCCAAAUUCCAUCCGAGAGGUGAUGGACCAUUUCAUGUGCUUGCAUUGAUCGGAGAUAAGGGCUAUAACUUGGAUGUUGAAGGUUUGGAUUCGAGGUCGAAUCCUUUCGAAGACAGGGAGAAUGAUGUGAUCCAAGAUGGGCUUCAAAAUUCUAGAGAAUUGAUGAAUGUUGGCGAGAGGUCAAGAGUAAGAUUAGAGCUUAAUUGGAGGGGUAAUUGGGCUGAAUUUCAUAUAUCCCCACAAAGUUAAGGGCUGCUGGAUGAAUUAAAAAGUAGAGGCUUGCUGAAUUUAAUAUGCUCACAUGCAUGCAGAGAAAAAAGAGUAGAGAUUAAGGUAGCUGCUUGAGGAAUUAAUGGCUCCUGAAAUCGUAUAAUAUUUACACACGGAAAUUAAGGCAGUUUUGGGACCAGCUUUCCUGUUUUGGCAAGUUACCUUAUUGCUUUAAGUUACCAAUGUUUUGUCAUCUCACAUCCGAGGAGGAAG
Molecule: long non-coding RNA, 1091 nt
Filed under: Olea europaea subsp. europaea
Lineage: Eukaryota; Viridiplantae; Streptophyta; Magnoliopsida; Lamiales; Oleaceae
Source: RNAcentral